UACGAAGGGGGCUAGCGUUGCUCGGAAUCACUGGGCGUAAAGGGUGCGUAGGCGGGUCUUUAAGUCAGAGGUGAAAUCCUGGAGCUCAACUCCAGAACUGCCUUUGAUACUGAGGAUCUUGAGUAUGGGAGAGGUGAGUGGAACUGCGAGUGUAGAGGUGAAAUUCGUAGAUAUUCGCAAGAACACCAGUGGCGAAGGCGGCUCACUGGCCCAUAACUGACGCUGAGGCACGAAAGCGUGGGGAGCAAACAGG
Molecule: ribosomal RNA, 253 nt
Filed under: uncultured bacterium
Lineage: Bacteria
Description: partial 16S ribosomal RNA
Rfam family: Bacterial small subunit ribosomal RNA
Source: RNAcentral